This is a long non-coding RNA of Acromyrmex echinatior (Panamanian leafcutter ant), 825 nucleotides long. NCBI's taxonomy places the organism in Eukaryota, Metazoa, Arthropoda, Insecta, Hymenoptera, Formicidae. The record is from RefSeq and is a predicted model, not a curated record.
AAGAAUCGAAAAAGAAGCGUCAGCGUAUCUUCUAUGUGCCUCCCAAUGCCCCUAUUUCUCUCUUUCUCUCUCUCAACUGACCUCCUCUCCAUCUCUCUUCCUCCGCGGACCUGUCGUGUCCUACAUCCUGCUCGCUCUUCGAAGCCGGUCGAAGCUUCGCGGUGGUAAACGGCGUAGCUACAACGUGCCGACGAGAGAAUGAGAGCGGCGGCGACGGCGGCAACCACUCUCGUCGUAUUGGUCGCACGGCAGUUCUGUAGUACGAGCGAUAGUGGUGGUAGUAAUAGUAGUACCACCGCAGACCUGCCCACGACGAGAGUAAACGGCGAGAGUAUUAUUAGCAGUAGCGUCGACACGCGACUAUCGUCACUACGCGACCUGUAAUCGCGCCGCGCCGAUAUCGACGUAUCGGUCGCGCCGACGACGCCGACGACGCCGACGCCGACGCCGACGCUGCGCCGAUCAUACGCGCCGGUUACAGGGAUUAGAGAGAUGCCCGACAAGACGUUUAGAUGAGCGACGAUUACGCAAUGAUUCGUGACCGAUCUGCACACGCGUUGGAUCGCAGUGAUCGUCCGUAAUGCGAUUAUACGCCUGAUUAUAGGUUCCUCGUAAUUGGAUCGUUUCUAAACUAGAGUUUAACUGGGUUAACCUUUACCAUGAAAUACCUCGUCACGGAGAAAUUCGUCGCAACGACUUUCAAAGAAAGUGCUGUAACAAAUUCAGGAUUUUUUUCAACAUUUCUAUUACAUUAAUACACGGAAUGCAAGAAAAUUCGACUUCCAGCCGAGAUUGAUUGCGUUGAAAGUCUGACAAUCAUAUCGG